UGGUCAAAGUCAGAUUUGGAUCCUCUACUGAGCUUAAGGAGAGGAUUCUUCUGACCAACAUAUAUGGGCCGUUGGAUGAAAAUUCAACGGCUAUAAUUAUUAUAAUUUUAAAAUGAUCUCCUGUUUAUAACUAUUGAAUUUUUAUCCAACGGUCCAUAUAUGUUGGUUAGGAGGAUCCUCUCCGUUAGCUCAGGAGAGGAUCCAAAUCCGUCAAAGUCG
Non-coding RNA from Malus domestica (apple), 219 nucleotides. NCBI's taxonomy places the organism in Eukaryota, Viridiplantae, Streptophyta, Magnoliopsida, Rosales, Rosaceae. The record is from RefSeq and is marked provisional.